CCAGUGGCCUUGAGUGGCCCGGGAUGGAAGACUGUUCGCAACAGAGAACCUGUCGCAUAUUCCAUAACAACUGUCCUGGCAAGACAAGGCAUGUGAGCCCCCAGGGACUUCUGGGCAAUUGGCCCUUCGAUGUACAGGUGGAUCACCCAUGGCGCCAGAUUGAGUGGCCCAGGAUGGAAGACCAUUGGCAUCGGAGACCCAUCACAUAUUCCAUGACUCCCAGCCUGGAAAGUCGAGGCCUACGAGCCGCCACGGGCCACUGGACACGCGGCCCUUGGUGGUACAGGUGGAACACCAAUGGCUGUGCAUUUGGAGCGAAGGACAACAGUGGCAGAUUUAUGGACCAUCCAACAGUUUUCCUCUCCCAUAAUCAGUUCCUCUCUGGCGGAAUUCCAGAUCCACAAGUGACUGGAAGUGAUGUUAGAGAGAAGGGAUAUUUUGCUGCUUGGAAUUCCACUGCCACCCCCAAAGAAGUGCUGUUUUCGUCACUUGUAUGAGCUCCUUUCUCUGGGAAAAUUCACAGCAUUGCUUUCUAGAGACUGACAUGUUCCAAAAACUAGGUUUCAUAUGAAUGAACUUAUUCCUUCCCCUUGAGAUGAGACAUAAAGAAAAAUGUUAGGAAUAAUUCUGCCUCCAUCCUCAAAGGCCUGUGUGAAUUCUCACAAAGAAGAUGACUUCCUGGGAGCUCUUUUGAGCAUGAAUGAUACCAGUAAACCCCUGAAGGAAGACUCUCAGACAGAGCCCUUUUGCCUCCCUCUUGUCUGAGGGCUGCCCUCUGAAGAGGUGAUGACCACAGAGACAAGGUGGAUUUGUUACUGUAGGUGCCAUUACUUCUGCCACCAGCUUCUCCAGUACAGUGACAGUCUUCUUUGUGCAUGGAAACUCUGCUCUUUCCUGUGUUGCAGUGGAUACCUCCUGCAGAUAAGAAAUGGUUAACUGAGAAAUGCUCAUGUUGGGAUAUCAUCGAUGAGACUUUAAUUUGGGCAUGGUGACUGUUUCCCUUGCUUCCACUUGACUCAAUCCCAGGAGCCUCAGUAGAGGAAAUUAUAUUGCACAAGAAACUCAAAGUGAUGGAAUUGCUUAGUACUCCCAUAAAUAUACAUUUAUAAUUUUCAUUUGCCAUGUAGUAAAUUAAAAAAAUAAGAUCUAUUAAAUUUUUUCAAAAAUUCAAAGCAUAUCUAAACAUCUAAUAUAUAAAUUAAGUGCCCUUUUCUCUCCUAAUCCUAUCUCCGAGUUUUCCUCUAUUAAGGGAGUUGUGUGCCUUCUUUAAGUAGAUAGAUGCACACACACAGACACAAGCUAUUUUAGGGGGUUCUGGAAGUAGAGCUAUAUUGUACACAUUAUUCUGCAAAUUUGCUUUCAUUUAACAGUUUUUUCAAUGCCCUUUUUUCUGUUUCAGUAAUACAUACCUGUGUCAUCUGUUGAAUGACUGCAUGAUUGUUUUGUACAUGAAAUAUAAUUAAAUGUUUUAAACAUUUCUUAUUCAUAGAUAUUUAUGUUAGUACCAAAUUCUGUGCAAUGAACCUCCCUAUAUAUCAAUAAUUUGCAUUUGUCUAUUAUAUCAUAAUAAAUUACUUAGCAGUUAAAAUACUGGGAUUAAGUAUAUGCAUAUUUCAAAUUUUGAAAAUGAUUGCAUGAUUUCCUUAAAUACAUGGUAACAACUUAAUCCUCAAAUGAACAUGAAUGAGAUUGCCAACUUUCCCACAAUCUCACAGAUAAUGAAUUUUAUGAAUAUUUGAGAUCUUUGCCAGUGUGAUAGCCCAAACUAUUGUCUUAAAUUGUAUUUCUUUUGUUUUUGAGUUUGAUCAUUUUUUCAUAUGUUUAUUAGCCAUCUGUAUUUUUUAUUUUAUGUCCAAUUUUGGGGCUGUGGGGAGGUUUUAGUCCUUUGCUGAUUUCAAAGAGCUCAUUUAUUAUUGGGGGAAUAAGCUUUGGAUUGUCACGCAUUACAGAUAUUUUUAACAUACUUUUAAGCUUCGUUUUUGUUAUAAGAAUGUAUUUGAUUGUUAUAUGUCCAGGUAUAACCAUGUUCACUUCUAUGGCUUCUGAGUUCAUGUCAUUUUGGAAAGAUAUUUAUACUGAUCUCAUAGAACUCUUCAUCUAUGUUAACUUCUAAUUCUUUUGUGUUUUUUUAAUUCAAGUUCUUAAAUCACAGAAAUUUUUUUAUUUGAAAUCUUAAAGUUGCCAAGUUAUUUGCCAUUACCUGCGAUUAUUUGCCAAUAAUUGCCCAUUUAUCUGUAAUGCCAUCUUGCACAUAUGCUGUAUUCUCAUCUAUGACUGACUCCAUUUUUGUUCUGUGGGUUGUGUGUCUCUUCUUCUGCCUCCUGUCUCGUGUCUUCUCUUAGAAGAAAUUACAGUUUAGACUGCAAUUUCAUCGACUUUUAAUAAAUUAAUUUAGGGGAGAAUUGGUUUUUAAUAAUAGUCUUCCUAUUCAAGGACAAGGUAUGUCUGUCUUUUUAUUCAGUAAUUUUAAUUAUUGUUAAUAUUUUCACUUUGUGGCAGGAGUAUCUUCCUUCAGUUUAUUUUCUUACUUGAUAAUUUUUCUGUAUCUGAAAAGUUUUGUGUUGUUUUAGGGGUAAGUGGUCUCCUUCCUCUUUUUCAUGGAGUUUCUUUUUUCAAAUUACAGACUAAAUCCUUUGAAAAUACUGAUAGUUGUGAUUCUCCUCUCCCGGAUUAUCUGGAUUGUGGAAAUAUCACUCACCCUUGAUUUAGUUAGGUUUUAAUGGACCCUUCUUGGUUUGACCAGCAUGUUUCUGGUCUAUUACACAAAAAGACUCUCAGAGACAGCUAUAAGCAAGCAAAGCUGAGUUUAUUAAAACUACAACAGAAAGGGAAAACAGUACUUUGACAAGGUUUAGUAGUAUUUCAAAAGCAGGAAAUUAAGGUUGUGAGGGAUGGGAUGACGGUUUAAGGUAGGAAUUUCAAGGCAGAAAACUGUCUUGUUGUUUGGUCAUUACGUCAUAUCUAACUCUUUUGCAGCCCCACGGCUCCUCUGUUCAUGGGAUUUCCCAGACAAGAAUACUGGAGUGGGUUGCCAUUUCCUUCUCCAGGGGAUCUUUCUGACCCAGGGAUUGAAUCCACAUCUCCCGCAUUGGCAGGUGGUUUUCUUUACCACUGAGUCACCAGGGAAGCAAGGAACUGGUUAGGAGAGGGCAAAAUUCAUCCUGUGAGAGUUUAAACCUGGUGAAAGAGUAAGAUGAAAAUGUUGAUUGAAUUUAGAUAAUCAAAUUUUUGUCUGAUGAAUGAGCUAUUUCCCUAUGUGAAUAAUAUAUUAUCAAUGAUAGAAGAACUGUUUGGGUAGAUGAACAAAUUUGAGUGUAUUUGUUGGUUUACAGUUCUGUCUUGUUUAUAAGACCCUGAUGGGGGUGGUAUCAGGUCUUAUUAGUUCCAAUAGUUAAGUUAUUUUGAUGUAAAUGAUCUCAGUCAUCAAAAUGCCAAUUUUAAAUUUGAGAUUCUUAUAUAUUAUGUUAGGUAAAGUCUCUUAGCUUCUACAUAUUUCUUAAGGAAUUUUCAUCAAAACCAAGUGGUGAAAUGUAACCAAAUACUUUUUGCAUAAACAAUUAUAUUAUUCUUUAAACUUUUGUCAUUGUGAAAUAAUCCAUUUUUACUAUUGAAAUUUUUUUAUUCCUUUUAUUGUUCAUUCAACAAAUUCCUUUUGGUUUUAAUUUCACUAUUGAAUUAUGAGUAUCUUCGUUUGAUUUGGAAUUUUUGCAGGAAUACUGCUAACUGAAAUUGAUCUGUAAUUUUAUUUUUUGUUCUAUUUUUGUCAUGUUUGUAUAUUGGAUUUUCUGAUUGUGUUUAAAUAAUUUUAGGAUUUUCUUUUUAUUCUGUGCUCUAGAAUAGGUUGGAAAGCUUUAGCUUUCAUCCGCAGUUAAGCAAACACAUAAUUUAAGUCAUCUGAACUCUCCUUUGUGUUUUUGGUGGUUUUCACAUUUUCUAUGGUUAUUGCUUAUUUUUUGUUUUAUACCUUACAUUUAACUUGUUAACUAGUAGAAAAUCACAGUCAAGUAGAUUUUCAAACACAGUAGAAUGAAGUAAUUCAAAAUGUUCAUUAAUUUCUCUCAUUUCAACUAAUAUCCAUUUCCAUCCAGUUUUGAUUAUUUCUGCUGUGUCUUUUUUAAUGUAAUAAGUUUGACUCAUGGAUUUUUAGUAUCACUCGUUGUCCAUUCCCCUGUUCCCCAGUCAGCUCUCAGGUAUUACUUAUCAGUGUAUCUUUUUAAUGUUUUAAUUAAUUUAUUUUUUCUACAUUCCCUUGUGGUUUUUUUCCUAAUGAAUUCUUAAACAUGUGUAAUUCAUUGAUUUUAAAGUGUUCUUGGUAAUGGAAGACUUCCUCUGUUCUGAUUUUUAUAAAAAUUCAUAAUUAACACAUUGUAAGCAUACAGAGUAUAAGGAGAAAAGAACUAUGACCUUGCAAAUACCAGUAAUCCAGGUUCUACCACAUUUUGCCAUAUUCACUUCAUGACGCUUUUGAAGUAUUUUUAAAUAAGUUAGAGAACUCAUAACACUGAUUUCCUCCAGAAGCAUUUUACAUUUUUCACUUUCAUUUUUCAAAUCAUAAUAUAUGUUACAAAAUUCAAAAUUUACAAAGGGAUUUUCACCUUUUCAGUGAAAGGUAAUUUACCUUUUCAGUUCUAUCUUCCAUAGCCACCCAAUUUCCCUUUCCUGGAGACAGCUAGUCUUAUGGUUUCUUGUGUCUCCUUUCAAACAUAUAUAUACACACAUCACAAAUACACAUCCCCAAAUGUGUGUGAGUAUAUACAUAGAUA
This 4763-nucleotide long non-coding RNA is filed under the name Bos taurus (domestic cattle). Its description in RNAcentral is "partial IPW". Lineage: Eukaryota; Metazoa; Chordata; Mammalia; Artiodactyla; Bovidae. The record is from RNAcentral.